GAUGAACGCUGGCGGCGUGCUUAACACAUGCAAGUCGAACGAAGCACUUUAUUUGAUUUCCUUCGGGACUGAUUAUUUUGUGACUGAGUGGCGGACGGGUGAGUAACGCGUGGGUAACCUGCCUUGUACAGGGGGAUAACAGUUGGAAACGGCUGCUAAUACCGCAUAAGCGCACAGCAUCGCAUGAUGCCGUGUGAAAAACUCGGGUGGGAUAGGAUGGACGGGCGUUGGAUUAGCUAGUUGGUGAGGUAACGGCCCACCAAGGCGACGAUCCAUAGACGACAUGAGAGGGUGGCCGGCGACAUUGAGACUAGGACACAGCACGGACUCUUACGCAAGGCAGCAAAGCGUAAUGUUGCAAAGCGGGCGAAGGCAUGAUGGUGCGACGAUGCGUGAGCGAAGAAAUAUUUGAGUAAGUAAUGCGCUAUCAGCAGGGCAGAUAAUGACGGUACCUGACUAGAAAGCACCGGCUAAAUACGUG
RNAcentral lists this ribosomal RNA (481 nucleotides) under uncultured bacterium. RNAcentral's name for it is "partial 16S ribosomal RNA". It matches the Rfam family "Bacterial small subunit ribosomal RNA", at positions 28 to 507 of the family's 1533-position model. The record is from RNAcentral.